Molecule: transfer RNA, 68 nt
Filed under: Boreonectes macedonicus
Lineage: Eukaryota; Metazoa; Arthropoda; Insecta; Coleoptera; Dytiscidae
Description: tRNA-Tyr
Rfam family: tRNA
About the family: Transfer RNA (tRNA) molecules are approximately 80 nucleotides in length. Their secondary structure includes four short double-helical elements and three loops (D, anti-codon, and T loops).
Source: RNAcentral
GGUAAAAUGGCUGAAUGAUUAGGCAAUAAACUGUAAAUUUAUUUAUGAAAAAUUGAUUUCUUUUACCA